AGUGAACGCUGGCGGUAGGCCUAACACAUGCAAGUCGAACGGCAGCACAGUAAGAGCUUGCUCUUACGGGUGGCGAGUGGCGGACGGGUGAGGAAUACAUCGGAAUCUACUUUUUCGUGGGGGAUAACGUAGGGAAACUUACGCUAAUACCGCAUACGACCUACCGGUGAAAGCAGUGGAUCUUCGGACCUUGCGCGAUUGGAUGAGCCGAUGUGGUAGUAGCUAGUUGGCGGGGUAAAUGCCCACGAGGGCGACGAUCCGUUGCUGGUCUGAGAGGAUGAUCGGCCACACUGGAACUGGGACACGGUCCAGACUCCUACGGUAGGCAGCAGUGGGGAAUAUUGGACAAUGGGCGCAAGCCUGAUCCAGCCAUACCGCGUGGGUGAAGAAGGCCUUCGGGUUGUAAAGCCCUUUUGUUGGGAAAGAAAAGCAGCAGGUUAAUACCCCGCUGUUCUGACGGUACCCAAAGAAGAAGCACCGGCUAACUUCGUG
RNAcentral lists this ribosomal RNA (492 nucleotides) under uncultured bacterium. RNAcentral's name for it is "partial 16S ribosomal RNA". It matches the Rfam family "Bacterial small subunit ribosomal RNA", at positions 29 to 507 of the family's 1533-position model. The record is from RNAcentral.